GGCCGACUAGCUCAGUUGGUUAGAGCGUGGUGCUAAUACCUUCGUGGUACGCCAAGGUCGUCGGUUCGACCCCGGCGUUGGCCA
Molecule: transfer RNA, 84 nt
Filed under: Rhodonia placenta
Lineage: Eukaryota; Fungi; Basidiomycota; Agaricomycetes; Polyporales; Adustoporiaceae
Also listed under: 1 other name
Description: Postia placenta tRNA
Rfam family: tRNA
About the family: Transfer RNA (tRNA) molecules are approximately 80 nucleotides in length.
Source: Rfam by way of RNAcentral